This 203-nucleotide long non-coding RNA is filed under the name Daucus carota (carrot). RNAcentral describes it as "long non-coding RNA (DCAR_LNC000143)". The record is from RNAcentral. Lineage: Eukaryota; Viridiplantae; Streptophyta; Magnoliopsida; Apiales; Apiaceae.
UGGUGCCAUUUUGUUUCGCUUUUAAUUUGUAAAUGCAGAGUCGUUUUGCACUGAGUCGCUUGUUUUCUGGGUUCACCGUGUCUGUUGAAUAUAUAUGAUUCUUGCUGAGUUUUUAUUGAUAUUGUAACCAAUUUCACAAUCUGAGUUUGCAAAGUUGUCUGGGUUGUUUUACAUUCGAUUAGCUAGUAGCGAGUCAUUGUUUU